UUGGAGGGCAAGUCUGGUGCCAGCAGCCGCGGUAAUUCCAGCUCCAAUAGCGUAUAUUAAAGUUGUUGCAGUUAAAAAGCUCGUAGUUGAAUUUCGGGGUCAGUAGGUUGGUCGUGCCAAUGGUGUGUACUGGCUUUACUGAUUCCUCCUUCUUGAAGAACUGUAAUGUCAUUAAUUUGGUGUUGCAGGGAAACAGGACUGUUACUUUGAAAAAAUUAGAGUGUUUAAAGCAGGCUAACGCUUGAAUACAUUAGCAUGGAAUAAUGAAAUAGGACGUUCGAUCCUAUUUUGUUGGUUUCUAGGAUUGACGUAAUGAUUAAUAGGGAUAGUUGGGGGCAUUAGUAUUCAAUUGUCAGAGGUGAAAUUCUUGGAUUUAUUGAAGACUAACUACUGCGAAAGCAUUUGCCAAGGAUGUUUUCAUUAAUCAAGAACGAAAGUUAGGGGAUCGAAGACGGUCAGAUACCGUCGUAGUCUUAACCAUAAACUAUGCCGACUAGGGAUCGGAUGAUGUUAAUUUUUUAAUGACUCAUUCGGCGCCUUACGGGAAAC
Molecule: ribosomal RNA, 549 nt
Filed under: uncultured Glomeromycotina
Lineage: Eukaryota; Fungi; Glomeromycota
Description: SSU rRNA
Rfam family: Eukaryotic small subunit ribosomal RNA
Source: RNAcentral